GACGAACGCUGGCGGCGCGCCUAACACAUGCAAGUCGAACGGAGCAUUAAAGUGCUUGCACUGGAAUGCUUAGUGGCGGACGGGUGAGUAACACGUGAGCAACUUGCCUUUCAGAGGGGGAUAACGUUUGGAAACGAACGCUAAUACCGCAUAACGUAUCGAUGGGACAUCCUGUUGAUACCAAAGGAGCAAUCCGCUGAGAGAUGGGCUCGCGGCCGAUUAGGUAGUUGGCGGGGUAACGGCCCACCAAGCCGACGAUCGGUAGCCGGACUGAGAGGUUGAACGGCCACAUUGGGGACUGAGAUACGGCCCAGACUCCUACGGGAGGCAGCAGUGGGGGAUAUUGCACAAUGGGGGAAACCCUGAUGCGGCGACGCCGCGUGAGGGAAGACGGGCCUUCGGGUUGUAAACCUCUGUCUUCAGGGACGAUAAUGACGGUACCUGAGGAGGAAGCCACGGGCUAACUACGUGCCAGCCGCCGCCGUAA
This 487-nucleotide ribosomal RNA is filed under the name uncultured bacterium. RNAcentral describes it as "bacterial SSU rRNA". It matches the Rfam family "Bacterial small subunit ribosomal RNA", at positions 28 to 523 of the family's 1533-position model. The record is from RNAcentral.